This 335-nucleotide non-coding RNA is filed under the name Saccharothrix sp. ST-888. RNAcentral describes it as "Bacterial large subunit ribosomal RNA". It matches the Rfam family "Bacterial large subunit ribosomal RNA", at positions 1420 to 1756 of the family's 2925-position model. Lineage: Bacteria; Bacillati; Actinomycetota; Actinomycetes; Pseudonocardiales; Pseudonocardiaceae. The record is from Rfam by way of RNAcentral.
GGAGUGGUGGAGCGGCCGGCCCAAGUCUGUAGUAGGUGAGCGAUGGGGUGACGCAGGAAGGUAGUCCAGCCCGGGCGGUGGUUGUCCCGGGGUAAGGGGGUAGGACGAACGGUAGGCAAAUCCGCCGUUCACGUAGUCUGAGACAUGAUGCCGAGCCGAGUGUGGCGAAGAGGAUGCUCCUAUGCAGUCGAGAAGAGCCUCCAGCGAGUUCCAUGGCGGCCCGUACCCCAAACCGACUCAGGUGGUCAGGUAGAGAAUACCGAGGCGUUCGGGUGAACUAUGGUUAAGGCACCCGGCAAAAUGCCCCCGUCACUUCGGGAGAAGGCGGCCCAUCC